CGUGCCUAAUACAUGCAAGUCGAGCGAGCGGAACUAACAGAUUUACUUCGGUAAUGACGUUAGGAAAGCGAGCGGCGGAUGGGUGAGUAACACGUGGGGAACCUGCCCCAUAGUCUGGGAUACCACUUGGAAACAGGUGCUAAUACCGGAUAAGAAAGCAGAUCGCAUGAUCAGCUUUUAAAAGGCGGCGUAAGCUGUCGCUAUGGGAUGGCCCCGCGGUGCAUUAGCUAGUUGGUAAGGUAAAGGCUUACCAAGGCGAUGAUGCAUAGCCGAGUUGAGAGACUGAUCGGCCACAUUGGGACUGAGACACGGCCCAAACUCCUACGGGAGGCAGCAGUAGGGAAUCUUCCACAAUGGACGCAAGUCUGAUGGAGCAACGCCGCGUGAGUGAAGAAGGUUUUCGGAUCGUAAAGCUCUGUUGUUGGUGAAGAAGGAUAGAGGUAGUAACUGGCCUUUAUUUGACGGUAAUCAACCAGAAAGUCACGGCUAACUACGUGCCAGCAGCCGCGGUAAUACGUAGGUGGCAAGCGUUGUCCGGAUUUAUUGGGCGUAAAGCGAGCGCAGGCGGAAGAAUAAGUCUGAUGUGAAAGCCCUCGGCUUAACCGAGGAACUGCAUCGGAAACUGUUUUUCUUGAGUGCAGAAGAGGAGAGUGGAACUCCAUGUGUAGCGGUGGAAUGCGUAGAUAUAUGGAAGAACACCAGUGGCGAAGG
Molecule: ribosomal RNA, 711 nt
Filed under: uncultured Bacilli bacterium
Lineage: Bacteria; Bacillati; Bacillota; Bacilli
Description: bacterial SSU rRNA
Rfam family: Bacterial small subunit ribosomal RNA
Source: RNAcentral